CAAGCUUGAGAUGUCUAGUUAUCACAUAUCAAAUUUCAUGUCCAUCUAAUAAAGUAUGAGAAUUUCACAAAUGAAAUGGGAACAUGUGUCACACAAAGUCAACUAUUGACUAGGCAGGGGAGAAAAUCUCAAACAAUUAGGAAAAUAGCUCAAAUAAAUCCAAGAAAAUUCACAUGUGAACUAGACAUACAAGAGUAGGUUCAUGCAAAAUUUGGGGUCAUUUGAAUGUAAGGAAGCAUGGUAAUGAA
RNAcentral lists this long non-coding RNA (248 nucleotides) under Lathyrus oleraceus (garden pea). RNAcentral describes it as "Pisum sativum (pea) long non-coding RNA (PSAT_LNC015623)". The record is from RNAcentral. Lineage: Eukaryota; Viridiplantae; Streptophyta; Magnoliopsida; Fabales; Fabaceae.